GGUGACGCGGUGCGUGAGGGGGCGGGAAUACUUGUGGUGCGUGCGUUAGUCGGAGUUACGGGGGGUAAAGCGUGUGGAGGCGGUUGGUUAAGUCGGGUGGGAAAGCCCUGUGGUCAACCUGGGAAUUGCGUUCGAGCGUGGCAAGAUAGAUUACGGUAGAGGGCGGCGGAAUUCCGGGUGUAGCGGUGAAAUGCGUAGAUAUCCGGAGGAACACCGAUGGCGAAGGCAACCGCCUGGGCCUGUACUGACGCUGAGACACGAAAGCGUGGGGAGCAAACAGGAUUAGAUACCCCUGUAGUC
This 300-nucleotide ribosomal RNA is filed under the name uncultured Methanimicrococcus sp. Its description in RNAcentral is "partial 16S ribosomal RNA". It matches the Rfam family "Bacterial small subunit ribosomal RNA", at positions 495 to 795 of the family's 1533-position model. The record is from RNAcentral. Lineage: Archaea; Methanobacteriati; Methanobacteriota; Methanomicrobia; Methanosarcinales; Methanosarcinaceae.